RNAcentral lists this ribosomal RNA (255 nucleotides) under uncultured bacterium. Its description in RNAcentral is "partial 16S ribosomal RNA". It matches the Rfam family "Bacterial small subunit ribosomal RNA", at positions 524 to 777 of the family's 1533-position model. The record is from RNAcentral.
GACAGAGGGUGCAAACGCUGUUCGGAAUUACUGGGCGUAAAGCGCGUGUAGGCUGCUCGGAAAGUCGGAUGUGAAAGCCCUGGGCUUAACCUAGGAAGUGCAUUCGAAACUUCUGAGCUGGAGUUCUGGAGAGGAAGGCGGAAUUCUCGGUGUAGAGGUGAAAUUCGUAGAUAUCGAGAGGAACACCGGUGGCGAAGGCGGCCUUCUGGACAGUGACGUGACGCUGAGACGCGAAAGCGUGGGGAGCAAACAGGG